Molecule: long non-coding RNA, 392 nt
Filed under: Dromaius novaehollandiae (emu)
Lineage: Eukaryota; Metazoa; Chordata; Aves; Casuariiformes; Dromaiidae
Description: lncRNA (ENSDNVG00000019106.1)
Source: RNAcentral
GAGUGCUAGCGUGGAGUUAGCUAGGUCUGGCCACAUCACAACCUGAGGCUUUCUGCAGCUCCGCUGGUCGUGACUAACACAGAUAACUACCGACUCCUUUUGACUCUGUUUGUUGUGUUUCUUUAGGGUCCUCCUGGUCCUCAUGGAAACCCUGGCUCACCUGGACCCCCCGGCCUGAAAGGUCAGAAGGGUGAUCCUGGGCUGUCGCCUGGAAAAGCUCGCAACGGACCUAAGGGAGAUAUAGGCUUACCUGGUUUGACUGGGUUCCCUGGACCACCUGGUCGAAAGGGAUAUAAAGGCUACCCUGGACCACCAGGUCACCCUGGAGAGCAGGUGAGUAUUCCCAGUUUCUAACAUUGAACCUUCAAAGAGGGAUGGAUUUCAUGGCUCCA